This 500-nucleotide ribosomal RNA is filed under the name uncultured bacterium. Its description in RNAcentral is "partial 16S ribosomal RNA". It matches the Rfam family "Bacterial small subunit ribosomal RNA", at positions 30 to 523 of the family's 1533-position model. The record is from RNAcentral.
AUUGAACGCUGGCGGCAGGCCUAACACAUGCAAGUCGAGCGGAUGAGAGGAGCUUGCUCUUCGAUUCAGCGGCGGACGGGUGAGUAAUGCCUAGGCAUCUGCCUAGUAGUGGGGGACAACGUUUCGAAAGGAACGCUAAUACCGCAUACGUCCUACGAGAGCAAGUGGGGGAUCUUUGGAGCUCACGCUAUUAGUUGAGCCUAGGUCGGAUUAGCUAGUUGGUAGGGUAAAGGACUACCAAGGAGACGAUCCGUAACUGGUCUGAGAGGAUGAUCAGUCACAAUGGAACUGAGACACGGUCCAGACUCCUACGGGAGGAAGAAGUGGGGAAUAUUGGACAAGGGGCGAAAGCCUGAUCCAGCCAUGACGCGUGUGUGAAGAAGGCCUUCGGGUCGUAAAGCACUUUAAGUUGGGAGGAAGGGCUCAUAGCGAAUACCUGUGAGUUUUGACGUUACCAACAGAAUAAGCACCGGCUAACUUCGUGCCAGCCGCCGCCGUAA